GGCAAAUGAUUCAAGGCGAGGCAAGAGGUGCUUCAGAUGCUGUCUUUUGCAGUCCUCCGAGAGGUUAGGGAUGUGGGAGGUCCCUGGGGGCCAUCUCUUACAAGACACAGUUUCCACUAAAUUGGAUCGUAUUUGUACAUCUCUACACCUGUGCGUGAUAGUAAACUUUUGCACCCAAAUACCCCGACCCCUGAAGGAGAGUGUGAGUUAAAAGGAUCUGAAGAACGGACCCUUUGUUUAAGCCUUCUCCGCUGGUGGUAUACUUACGAGGACCAGAGGUGAGGUGUCAGCAAGGAGGCCCACAGGUGGAAAGUGCUUUGGGCCAAUGGUACACACCUGCUUUAUUGGAUAGACGCAGAGAAGUAUGCCUGGUCACAGCCAGAGCUUACUCGGUCAAGAAAUUAUGAGCUCCCCAGAAGUCUCUUGUAUGCUGUCUCCUAGUUGUGAGCACCUUUUACCAAAGAUGGUCUGAGAGUACCUGUGCUGAAAUGGAAUUGUCUUUGAGUGGACACUUCUUAGAUGAGACCUAUUGUGGCCAAUAGCUCCUGAGGAACUGAAGCCUUCAGUUCAAAACUUGUGUGAGAAAAAUGAAUCUUGCCAACUACUGGAGUGAGCUUAGAAAUGAAUCCAUCCCCAGUUGACCCUUGAAUGUAGCCUUGUCAGAGACCCAGAGACAAAGCAUCCUGCUAAUCUGCACUGGGUUCUAGGCCCACAGAAACCAUGGGAUAAUAACUUUGUGUUGCUAUAAGCCACUGAAAACAAACAAAUAAAAUACUUAAGAUGUUCCCCUGUGGAAGGGUUCCAUUGCCAGGGAUCUGCACUUCACAACCAAAGGGAUUAAAGAGAAUUGCCUUCUUCAGAUUUCAGACUGUGGCCUGCUUCUGGUUUUUCUUUCUAUAUUCAUAUAUAUGUUUGUUUAAAUCAUCCUACUUUUGGAGCAGGAAAAGUUACUAUUACAGUUUAUACAAAGGGAAGAAAUCUGGUACAUGCUAAAGUUAUUCAUCUGUAACUACCUGACGAGCCCAAUUAGUUGCUUGCUCCUAUGGAUUCUGAGCCUAAAAUCCCUUCAACAGAUCUUUGACCUUUUCUAAGUUAAGUUUUUGGAAGUAUCCUAUUUGUUCACUUACUUGGGCCAGAGACUAUAGAGAUUAAGAGAAAGUUUGAUAUUUGACCCUAAUUUUAGGCUAAAACAAUUUAGAUGGAAAGAACAGACACAAUUCAAUUUAACCAUCUUCAACUGCUGUGCUUUAGAAAGCUGGGAGUGUGGAGAAUGGAGUAGGUGUACAGAAAAAUAAGAACAGUUCUGUUCUUCAGGGCUUGAUAAAGGCUGCUGUGAGUUGGAUGGACAAUAAUUACUACUGACUAGGUCUAGCUGGGAUAGUUAGGGGAGACUUUCUGAAAGAGGCAACACAUGAGCUGGGUUCUAAAUCUCAAAUAGGAUUUGAUGGCUGAAGAUGAGGGUAAUAAAACAAGAGAAACAAGUACAUUCCAGAUAGAAAGAAUAGUAUAAGCCAAGAAAAACCUAUUCCAGGGCAGCAGGGAAGAGUCUGAAGUGGCAAAACAAAGUAGGAGGCAAAGCUGUCAAUAUAAGUAACUUGGUAGAGAAACAUUAGGAGUUUGGAUUUUAUCCCAUUGACUAGGAGGAUUUAAAAACAGAAAAUGCUCACAGGGGCCAGGCAAGUUAUGAGUAAAUAAAAGGUCCAGGUGUAAGUGCAACAGGGCCCAUGGACAUAGGAAUGGGGGAUGUGAAAAACCAACCUUUGCUAACAGUGAGUUCUACUAUGCAGUUUUAGCUGAUUAUAGCCAGACUCGAAAGCAACCUUUGUAGGGUUGACAGUUCUUGUGAUUGUUCAAGAAAAAAAUUUAUGUAAAAUCUACUGACUUGAAAAUACUAGAUUAAUUUAUUUAAUGUUAUAGAGCUCAAAUAAAACACAUUUGUCUUAUUUAUAGCCCAAGAGCUUUUGGUGGUGAUGGUGGGUAACAAUUUUGGUAGGAGAGAAGGCUAUGAGUUGAAUGGUGUCUUAGGAAUAUUUGGCAUUUGUGAUAGAUUGGACAAGGUAGAGAUGUAAAAGAAAAAAUGUCUCAGGCCGGGUAUGCUGGCUCACACCUGUCUGAGUACUUUUUGUGGCUGAGGUGGGAUUG
Molecule: long non-coding RNA, 2142 nt
Filed under: Homo sapiens (human)
Lineage: Eukaryota; Metazoa; Chordata; Mammalia; Primates; Hominidae
Description: HSALNT0362052
Source: RNAcentral